AUUGAACGCUGGCGGCAGGCCUAACACAUGCAAGUCGAGCGGAUGAAGGGAGCUUGCUCCUGGAUUCAGCGGCGGACGGGUGAGUAAUGCCUAGGAAUCUGCCUGGCAGUGGGGGAUAACGUCCGGAAACGGGCGCUAAUACCGCAUACGUCCUGAGGGAGAAAGUGGGGGAUCUUCGGACCUCACGCUAUCAGAUGAGCCUAGGUCGGAUUAGCUAGUUGGUGGGGUAAAGGCCUACCAAGGCGACGAUCCGUAACUGGUCUGAGAGGAUGAUCAGUCACACUGGAACUGAGACACGGUCCAGACUCCUAAGGGAGGCAGCAGUGGGGAAUAUUGGACAAUGGGCGAAAGCCUGAUCCAGCCAUGCCGCGUGUGUGAAGAAGGUCUUCGGAUUGUAAAGCACUUUAAGUUGGGAGGAAGGGCAGUAAGUUAAUACCUUGCUGUUUUGACGUUACCAACAGAAUAAGCACCGGCUAACUUCGUG
Molecule: ribosomal RNA, 484 nt
Filed under: uncultured bacterium
Lineage: Bacteria
Description: partial 16S ribosomal RNA
Rfam family: Bacterial small subunit ribosomal RNA
Source: RNAcentral